GGGGUUGUAGCUUAAUGGUAAAGCGUACUGAACAGGAGAUGCUAACAACCUGUAUACUGGUUCUACCUUUCGAGGACUCGGUACUCGUGGUUGGAGGCAUUUGCUUGCUCAGUGAGAUGGCUGGUUCGAGUCCAGCCAACUCCA
This is a non-coding RNA of Hyaloscypha sp. PMI_1271, 144 nucleotides long. Lineage: Eukaryota; Fungi; Ascomycota; Leotiomycetes; Helotiales; Hyaloscyphaceae. The record is from the annotation of a GenBank genome assembly.